This is a non-coding RNA of Phrynosoma platyrhinos (Desert horned lizard), 71 nucleotides long. NCBI's taxonomy places the organism in Eukaryota, Metazoa, Chordata, Lepidosauria, Squamata, Phrynosomatidae. The record is from the annotation of a GenBank genome assembly.
GCCAGCAUGUCAUAGUGGUUUGCGUGUUGGACUGUGACUCUGUAGACCAGGGUUUGAUUCCCUGAUUGGCC